Molecule: RNA transcript, 1547 nt
Organism: Fundulus heteroclitus (mummichog)
Lineage: Eukaryota; Metazoa; Chordata; Actinopteri; Cyprinodontiformes; Fundulidae
Gene name: capZ-interacting protein
Exons: 7
Source: RefSeq, a predicted model, not a curated record
CUCAUCUUUUGUGAUGUGUCCUUCCUCUACCAGUUCCUGUGUGCUCAGCCAGCUGGACUCGUCUGAUGAAAGCUGUCUAUGUGCUGCAGUUCUGCCUGUUUCCCCAAGGAUUCUCCAUCCGUGGCUGAGCUGGCUGGAAAGUUAAAGGGUCAUAUUUUACCAACGCCCAACUCAAAUGAUGAGUUGCCUUUUCGAGGAAGACCUCCUUGUUCUCUAAAGUUGCAAAAUUCGACCCAAGAUAAGGAAGUGUCAGAUAAAUCUGUCUCUUCCGCCACCUUUAAAACAAAGAACUCGGCCAUCAUUGGAAAACUGCAGGCCAACCUCGCUCUGUCUCCCACGGGUCUGCUGCCUUCACCCAAGGGUCCAGACGUGAAGCUGCAACCAGCACAGUUGUCCCCCUCCCCGCCCUGCACCCCUCUGAGCCCCACCCUGCGACCCCCACACCUGUCCAGCGAAGACGAGGACCCCGUUGGCUUCGACAGCCCUCCUGAAGGCACCCCACUGCCGAGCUUUAACAAGACCCGGGCACGGUUAUCAUUCAAGAGGCGUCCGCCCACGAGACAGCACAGAAGGUCAGCAGGAGAGGAGGCGGGAGGCGCUGCGAGUGAGCUGUCCCCGUGUGAGCUGGACGUCCGGAGAGAAAACGGGGACAAGGACCAGGUGUUCGCCGAUCUGACGGAGGAAGCUGAAUCCGGGCAGCUGGGCAGCGUAAAAGAAGCUGGAAACGGAGAGGAAGACUGGGAAAAGAUUGAGGCGGAGGUGGCACGGAGCGACGCAGAUGGCAGAAGGGAUCUGCAGCAGGAAGGGGAACAAGACACGCCUGCAGAGGCUUUGCGGGAGGGGCAGGAGCCUUUACAGCCUGACGAGCAGAUGGAGGUCAUCGUUAAGACAGAAAAGGGGCAGGACGAGAUGCCUCAGGUGGCGAAGGCAGGAGAAAAUGACACUAUGUGAACUGUAAAAGUGAUUUAUUUCUUGGAAGAGUACAGAUAAGUUUAUCAGUGCUUAUAAUCAAGAGAAGUAGUCUAUAUAAAAAUAUCUUGGUCCUGCUCUCUUAAAUUACUUGAGAAGCAGCUGUUUGGAAAACAGCUUUGGAAACAUGUGGGGUUGGGUGGAGGGGGGGGGGGGGGAUCAUGGUCAUGGCAUCAUGGGGAGCUUUUAUUACAUUUGCAAACCACCUUGUUUGCAGGACAUUUUUUAAAAAGGUCCAAGACUGUAACAUGAGUUCAGCUUCACCUCUGGGGUCUGUCAUUUAUGCUACGCACUGAAUAGUAUAAAAUUAAAGGCAUGAUAAAGGCAAAAAUAGAGAUUACAUGGAAUUUUUUUAUAUAUAUGAUGUUAAACUAAAUCACUUUAAAUUGCUUUCUUAUUUUUGUUUAAAAGUACUGUAUAUGUUGGGUUGUCUCUCUUUGUAUCUUUUGCUUGUGUGCAACAACGUGUACAGAUGCUCUGACCUUUAUAAAUAUUAAAGUAAAUUACGUCCAUUACGAACAAACAAAAGCUGGUCAGUUAUGAAUACUCCUGGUUAUGACGAAUAAAAGCCUUAAAAA